Small nucleolar RNA from Ochotona princeps (American pika), 122 nucleotides. RefSeq annotates it as small nucleolar RNA SNORA32. NCBI's taxonomy places the organism in Eukaryota, Metazoa, Chordata, Mammalia, Lagomorpha, Ochotonidae. The record is from RefSeq and is a predicted model, not a curated record. The transcript has a single exon.
UGGUCAUUACCAAGGCUUUUGGAAGGUCGUUUCCUAUUUGCUGUGGAUUUGACCAUACACAAAGUCAUCCAAUGCACUUUUUCUCUGCUACCUUGCUAGCUCGCAGCCUACUGGAAAUAUUU